Molecule: ribosomal RNA, 486 nt
Filed under: uncultured bacterium
Lineage: Bacteria
Description: bacterial SSU rRNA
Rfam family: Bacterial small subunit ribosomal RNA
Source: RNAcentral
AUUGAACGCUGGCGGCAUGCCUUACACAUGCAAGUCGAACGGCAGCACGGGAGCAACUCCGUGGUGGCGAGUGGCGAACGGGUGAGUAAUAUAUCGGAACGUGCCCGGUCGUGGGGGAUAACGUAGCGAAAGCUACGCUAAUACCGCAUACGAUCUACGGAUGAAAGCGGGGGAUCGCAAGACCUCGCGCGAUUGGAGCGGCCGAUAUCAGAUUAGGUAGUUGGUGAGGUAAAGGCUCACCAAGCCGACGAUCUGUAGCUGGUCUGAGAGGACGACCAGCCACACUGGGACUGAGACACGGCCCAGACUCCUACGGGAGGCAGCAGUGGGGAAUUUUGGACAAUGGGCGCAAGCCUGAUCCAGCAAUGCCGCGUGCAGGAUGAAGGCCUUCGGGUUGUAAACUGCUUUUGUACGGAACGAAACGGUGAGCUCUAAUACAGUUUGCUAAUGACGGUACCGUAAGAAUAAGCACCGGCUAACUACGUG